UACGACCUACGGGGGGCAGCAGUAGGGAAUCUUCCACAAUGGGCGAAAGCCUGAUGGAGCAACGCCGCGUGGAGGAUGAAGGUUUUAGGAUUGUAAACUCCUUUUGUGAGAGAAGAUAAUGACGGUAUCUCACGAAUAAGCACCGGCUAACUCCGUGCCAGCAGCCGCGGUAAUACGGAGGGUGCAAGCGUUACUCGGAAUCACUGGGCGUAAAGAGUGCGCAGGCGGGCUUGUAAGUCAGAUGUGAAAUCCUGUAGCUUAACUACAGAACUGCAUUUGAAACUAUGAGUCUAGAGUGUGGGAGG
Molecule: ribosomal RNA, 305 nt
Filed under: uncultured bacterium
Lineage: Bacteria
Description: bacterial SSU rRNA
Rfam family: Bacterial small subunit ribosomal RNA
Source: RNAcentral